RNAcentral lists this ribosomal RNA (59 nucleotides) under Chlorella vulgaris. RNAcentral describes it as "partial 28S ribosomal RNA". It matches the Rfam family "Eukaryotic large subunit ribosomal RNA", at positions 1 to 58 of the family's 3401-position model. Lineage: Eukaryota; Viridiplantae; Chlorophyta; Trebouxiophyceae; Chlorellales; Chlorellaceae. The record is from RNAcentral.
UCGACCUGAGCUCAGGCAAGACUACCCGCUGAACUUAAGCAUAUCAAUAAGCGGAGAAA